AAGCGCAUGUGCUGUGAGCUCGAUGAGUAGGGCGGGACACGUGGUAUCCUGUCUGAAUAUGGGGGGACCAUCCUCCAAGGCUAAAUACUCCUGACUGACCGAUAGUGAACCAGUACCGUGAGGGAAAGGCGAAAAGAACCCCGGCGAGGGGAGUGAAAAAGAACCUGAAACCGUGUACGUACAAGCAGUGGGAGCCCCACCACUAAGCCAGUGGUGAACUCCACAUACGCAUCCUUUGCUGAAGGCAAUGGUUAACGGAGCGAAAGCGACGUUCAACCGCAAAACAAGCAGAGGGGGCUUAGUGGUGGGGUGACUGCGUACCUUUUGUAUAAUGGGUCAGCGACUUAUAUUCUGUAGCAAGGUUAACCGAAUAGGGGAGCCGCAGGGAAACCGAGUCUUAACCGGGCGUUAAGUUGCAGGGUAUAGACCCGAAACCCGGUGAUCUAGCCAUGGGCAGGUUGAAGGUUGGGUAACACUAACUGGAGGACCGAACCGACUAAUGUUGAAAAAUUAGCGGAUGACCUGUGGCUGGGGGUGAAAGGCCAAUCAAACCGGGAGAUAGCUGGUUCUCCCCGAAAGCUAUUUAGGUAGCGCCUCGUGAAUUCAUCUCCGGGGGUAGAGCACUGUUUCGGCUAGGGGGCCAUCCCGGCUUACCAACCCGAUGCAAACUGCGAAUACCGGAGAAUGUUAUCACGGGAGACACACGGCGGGUGCUAACGUCCGUCGUGAAGAGGGAAACAACCCAGACCGCCAGCUAAGGUCCCAAAGUCAUGGUUAAGUGGGAAACGAUGUGGGAAGGCCCAGACAGCCAGGAUGUUGGCUUAGAAGCAGCCAUCAUUUAAAGAAAGCGUAAUAGCUCACUGGUCGAGUCGGCCUGCGCGGAAGAUGUAACGGGGCUAAACCAUG
Molecule: ribosomal RNA, 906 nt
Filed under: Salmonella enterica subsp. enterica serovar Virchow
Lineage: Bacteria; Pseudomonadati; Pseudomonadota; Gammaproteobacteria; Enterobacterales; Enterobacteriaceae
Description: partial 23S ribosomal RNA
Rfam family: Bacterial large subunit ribosomal RNA
Source: RNAcentral